This is a non-coding RNA of Pelobates cultripes (western spadefoot toad), 412 nucleotides long. The record is from the annotation of a GenBank genome assembly. NCBI's taxonomy places the organism in Eukaryota, Metazoa, Chordata, Amphibia, Anura, Pelobatidae.
AGGGAGAGUCGCAGUAAGCUACGGGCUGAAUGUCCUAGACCUUCGGUCCCAGGAUCGGCGUGUAAGACGCCAGAGGUCGAUCCUCAGAUUGCCCAGUUCCUCAACAAAUCAGGCUGGAAGCAAAAGAAGGGCCUUGAUUUUUCCCUGAGACAUUGUCAAGACAAGAUUAUGGACACCAUUGGCCCUCUGUCUAAGGCCUAUGAAGUUCUGGAAGCCGCCAAGGCGGGUGACGCGGAGCUUGAUAUUGAUGUAGCGAUCGGUUGGGUGCAACGUGCCAUUUGCCUACUAGGCAAUGCUAAUAUGGCCGUCUCCGCUGAGCGCAGGAAGGCAAUCCUGCUUAAGAUUGAUCCUAAAUUGGCUACCAUGGCCGUCUCCGAACCUGGUCCCUCGGCUGAGGGGAUGCUCUUUGGAG